This 435-nucleotide ribosomal RNA is filed under the name uncultured bacterium. RNAcentral's name for it is "partial 16S ribosomal RNA". It matches the Rfam family "Bacterial small subunit ribosomal RNA", at positions 29 to 507 of the family's 1533-position model. The record is from RNAcentral.
AACGAACGCUGGCGGCAUGCCUAACACAUGCAAGUCGAACGAUUGCCUUCGGGUGAUAGUGUCUAACGGUUUCGUAACGCGUGGGAAGCGUACCGUAGGUUCGGACUAACAUCUGGAAACGGCUGCUAAUAGCGGACGAUAUCGCGAGAUCAAUGCUUUAUCGCCUGAGGAUGGGGGCGCGUUGGAUUAGGUAGUUGGUGGGGUAAAGGCCUACCAAGCCGACGAUCCAUAGCUGGUCUGAGAGGAUGAUCAGCAACACUGGGGGUGAGACACGGCCCGGACUCUUCCGGAAGGCAGCAGUGCGGAAUAUUGAACACUGGGCGCAAGCCUGAGGCAGCAAGGUCGCGUGAGUGAUGAAGGCGGUAGGGUUGUAAAGCUCGUUAAUCCGGGAAGAUAUUGACUGUACCGGGAUAAAAAGCCACGGCUAACUCCGUG